GGGUGUUUGAUGGAGAGAGGUGGCUAGCCACCCAUCUGAGAGGAGCUCGGAGUCCGGCUCUCGCAGGAGUUCGGAUGGAGUCUUCCUUCAGUCAAAGUCGGGAGUGAAGUCCGGCUCCCGUAGGAGUUCGGGCGGGGUCUUCCCGUAGCCGGAGUCGGAGAUGAGGUCUGGCUCUCGUAGGAGUCUGGGCGAAGUCUUCCUGCAAUUAAAGUCAGGGAUGAAGUCUGGCCCCCUUAGGAGUCCGGACGAAGUUUACCUGUAAGCGAAGUCAUGGGUGGAGCCCGGCUCCCGUAGGAGUCCGGGCGAAGUCCUUGUGCAGUCGAAAUUUGGAACGAGACCCGGCUCCCGUAGGAGUCCGGGCAGAGUCUUCCCACAGCUGGAGCUGG
RNAcentral lists this long non-coding RNA (386 nucleotides) under Elaeis guineensis (African oil palm). Its description in RNAcentral is "long non-coding RNA (EGUI_LNC069403)". The record is from RNAcentral. Lineage: Eukaryota; Viridiplantae; Streptophyta; Magnoliopsida; Arecales; Arecaceae.